This 377-nucleotide ribosomal RNA is filed under the name uncultured bacterium. Its description in RNAcentral is "bacterial SSU rRNA". It matches the Rfam family "Bacterial small subunit ribosomal RNA", at positions 28 to 415 of the family's 1533-position model. The record is from RNAcentral.
GACGAACGCUGGCGGCGUGCAUAACACAUGCAAGUCACGGGGGCCAGCAAUGGCAACCGGCGAACGGGUGCGUAACACGUAAGCGACCUACCUCGAUGUGGGGCAUAGCCGGCCUAACGGCCGGGUAAUUCCGCAUGUGAUCCUUGAGGGGCAUAUCUCGGGGAUGAAACCAGUAAUGGGCAUUGAGAGGGGCUUGCGGCCUAUCAGCUUGUUGGCGGGGUAACGGCCACCAAGGCGACGACGGGUAGCUGGUCUGAGAGGAUGGCCAGCCACAUUGGGACUGAGAAACGGCCCAGACUCCUACGGGAGGCAGCAGUGGGGAAUCUUGCGCAAUGGCCUAACGGCUGACGCAGCGACGCCGCGUGAGGGAUGAAGCU